Molecule: ribosomal RNA, 494 nt
Filed under: uncultured bacterium
Lineage: Bacteria
Description: partial 16S ribosomal RNA
Rfam family: Bacterial small subunit ribosomal RNA
Source: RNAcentral
ACGAACGCUGGCGGCGUGCCUAAUACAUGCAAGUAGAACGCUGAAGGAGGAGCUUGCUUCUCUGGAUGGGUUGCGAACGGGUGAGUAACGCGUAGGUAACCUGCCUGGUAGCGGGGGAUAACUAUUGGAAACGAUAGCUAAUACCGCAUAAUAGCAGUUGUUGCAUGACAACUGUUUGAAAGGUGCAAUUGCACCACUACCAGAUGGACCUGCGUUGUAUUAGCUAGUUGGUGGGGUAACGGCUCACCAAGGCGACGAUACAUAGCCGACCUGAGAGGGUGAUCGGCCACACUGGGACUGAGACACGGCCCAGACUCCUACGGGAGGCAGCAGUAGGGAAUCUUCGGCAAUGGACGGAAGUCUGACCGAGCAACGCCGCGUGAGUGAAGAAGGUUUUCGGAUCGUAAAGCUCUGUUGUAAGAGAAGAACGAGUGUGAGAGUGGAAAGUUCACACUGUGACGGUAUCUUACCAGAAAGGGACGGCUAACUACGUG